UACGGGGGGGGCAAGCGUUGUUCGGAAUUACUGGGCGUAAAGGGUCUGUAGGUGGCCAACUAAGUCGAACGUGAAAUCCCCAGGCUCAACCUGGGAACUGCGUCCGAUACUGGCGGGCUUGAAUCCGGGAGAGGGAUGCGGAAUUCCAGGUGUAGCGGUGAAAUGCGUAGAUAUCUGGAGGAACACCGGUGGCGAAGGCGGCAUCCUGGACCGGUAUUGACGCUGAUGCGCGAAAGCCAGGGGAGCAAACGGG
RNAcentral lists this ribosomal RNA (253 nucleotides) under uncultured bacterium. RNAcentral describes it as "partial 16S ribosomal RNA". It matches the Rfam family "Bacterial small subunit ribosomal RNA", at positions 524 to 776 of the family's 1533-position model. The record is from RNAcentral.